RNAcentral lists this ribosomal RNA (252 nucleotides) under Triticum aestivum (bread wheat). RNAcentral's name for it is "partial small subunit ribosomal RNA". Lineage: Eukaryota; Viridiplantae; Streptophyta; Magnoliopsida; Poales; Poaceae. The record is from RNAcentral.
AUGACUGGGGAGGUGAACAACUACUAUUUGCUUCCCGAAGAACCCGACCCCUUGCGCACCUUGCAUCAUAAGGAUAGCAUCGCCAAGGUGAUGUUUCUCGCAGCCGUGGCUAAACCAAGAUACGACAAAGGUGGUGAGGUCACUUUUGAUGGAAAGCUCGGCAUUUGGGCUUUUGUCACAGAGUCUCCUGCUCAAAGAACCAGUGAUAAUAGAGAUAAAGGGACGCUCGAGCUCAAAUCACACGAGAUGUAA